This 523-nucleotide unclassified non-coding RNA is filed under the name Hevea brasiliensis (rubber tree). The record is from RNAcentral. Lineage: Eukaryota; Viridiplantae; Streptophyta; Magnoliopsida; Malpighiales; Euphorbiaceae.
GCAUCAGUUUGGAGGGUGCAAUGUCCUGUACUAGGAAUUUUCAGAGGUGGCAGAUUUGAAGCCACUGCUUUAAGGGCCUUGACUGCCUCUGGUUGUUCCUUUCCCCAAGGAGGUGCAGUCUUCUUGAGCAUAUUUGAAAGUUUGCAGGUGUGUGUAGCGACAUGAGGUAUUAACUUUAUAAUGUAAUUGACAAUGCCUAAGAAUUGUUGUAUUUGUUUUGUUGAUAAGUCUUUGUCAGGGAACUUUAGCAAUUCUUCUGCAAUAUGUGGCCCCAGCUGGUGCCUUUCAUUUUUAAAUCGCGUUCCAAGGUAAUCGAUAUCAGAUUUGUGCCAAAGAAUUCUUCUUUUCAGACAGCAUUAUGCCAUAAGAUUCCAAUAUGGAUUGAAAAGUAGUCAAAAGUGCUUUAUAAGCCGUGACGUUUUUUGAGAACAGUAGGAUGUCAUCGAUGUAAAUGAGAACACUAUGGAGUAUAUGCUCAAAUAUCUUUGUUAUGGCUUUCUGGAAAAUAGAAGGUGUUGUCUUU